RNAcentral lists this ribosomal RNA (253 nucleotides) under uncultured bacterium. RNAcentral describes it as "partial 16S ribosomal RNA". It matches the Rfam family "Bacterial small subunit ribosomal RNA", at positions 524 to 776 of the family's 1533-position model. The record is from RNAcentral.
GACGUAGGGAGCGAGCGUUGUCCGGAUUCAUUGGGCGUAAAGAGCGCGCAGGCGGUCGAGUAAGUCGAAUGUGAAAGCCCCCGGCUUAACUGGGGAGGGUCAUUCGAUACUGUUCGACUUGAAGGCAGGAGAGGGCAGCAGAAUUCCCGGUGUAGUGGUGAAAUGCGUAGAUAUCGGGAGGAAUACCAGUGGCGAAGGCGGCUGCCUGGCCUGUUCUUGACGCUGAGGCGCGAAAGCUGGGGGAGCAAACGGG